This is a long non-coding RNA of Ylistrum balloti, 788 nucleotides long. RefSeq lists it as uncharacterized. NCBI's taxonomy places the organism in Eukaryota, Metazoa, Mollusca, Bivalvia, Pectinida, Pectinidae. The transcript has 3 exons. The record is from RefSeq and is a predicted model, not a curated record.
GUUAUUGAUAAUAUUUCACCACUUUCCUUAAUCAUGAUGGAUAACAACUACCCAGAAACAUUUACACAUCUCUAAGAAAGAAUAAGACGUUGGGGGAGGUGGUACUGGAGCAAUGGUCUUCGCAACCCGUCUGGGGUCCUUUGGUGCCAUAGUUGGUCCUCCCUUCAUCCUAACUCGAUCUGCCAAACGGUUCUCCACUCCAGAUUCUAAAAGUCCUUCAACAUAAGUGUACGACUUCUCUUCCUUGGCGUCCAGAGCAGCCAUAAGGAUCCUGGCAUGGUAGACAAGUGGCACAUAUGAGUAUCGCUUGGCACAAUACAUCACAAACAAGCAGAUGAAAAUUUUCAAAAUAUGAAGUACUCCUGUGGAGUGAAAAAAAAUGUGUGCAAAUUGGAAACCAUGACUUCUGGUCAAAAUCUCUUACAAUAGAUGUACAUAAAACAGAAUUUCAUAGAAAAGUGUCGCGUGCCUAGGACAAAAAUCUUAUUUAUACUAACAUUGACCUUGACCCUUGAACCUGAAAAGCAAUCCCAAGCAGGCACUUUUGGUGAGGAAUCACUGUUAGGAGUUUGAAGUUGAUCAGCAUCUAGUUAUCGUGAAAAAAUCUCAGUACAGACGCCGACAUCACCAUACCUAUGUCGCCUUUUGCAGCCCACACAAAAAUAUAAAUUGUAGAUCUGCUUAAAGCAGCACAAAUAUCUGUGCUGCUGUGACAUUGAUAGAGGGCCAACGUCCACCAUUUGAACAAACUUUGCGAAGCUUCAUUACAAUAUGCUACAGUAAAAUAU